CACCUGCUUUGGCUGCUCACCUACUCCCUUCUCCAUGUCUCUACCUUUCUCUUUAAACUUACCUCCAUUACUAUGGGCAACCUUCCACCCUCCAUUCCCCCAUCUUCUCCCUUAGCCUGUGUUCUCAAAAACUUAAAACCUCUUCAACUCUCGCCUGACCUAAAACCUAAGCGUCUUAUUUUCUUCUGCAACACCGCUUGGCCCCAAUACAAACUCAAUAAUGGUUCUAAAUAGCUAGAAAAUGACACUUUUGAUUUCUCCAUUUUACAAGACCUGGAUGAUUUUUGUUGAAAAAUGGGCAAAUGGGUCUGAUGUGCCUGACAUCCAGGCAUUGUUUCAUACACUGGUCCCUCCUUAGUCUCUGCUCCCAAUGCGACUCAUCCCAAAUCUUUCUUCUUUCUCUGCGGUCUGUUCCUUCAGUCUCCACCCCAAGCUCUGAGUCCUUUGAAUGCUCCUUUUCUACAGACCCAUCUAACCUCUCCCCUCCUACCCAGGCUGCUCCUCACCAGGCUGAGCCAGGUCCCAAUUCUUCCUCAGCCUCCGCUCCCCGAUCCUAUAAUCCUUUUAUCACCUCCCCUCCUCACACCCGGUCCAGUUUACAGUUACAUUCCUCCACUAGCCCUCCCCCACCUGCCCAACAAUUUCCUCUUAAAGAGGUGGCUGGAGCUGAAGGCAUAGCCAAGAUCUUCUUGACUUAGCAGCUGAAGACUGAUGCUGCCCGAUUGCCUUGGAAGCCCCCCUAGACCAUCACAGAUGCCGAGCUUCGGGAACUCUCACAGUGGAGGAAGACAGGAAUGUCAGGCCUCUGAGCCCAAGCUAAGCCAUCAUAUCCCCUGUGACCUGCACGUAUACAUCCAGAUGGCCUGAAGCAACUGAAGAUCCACAAAAGAAAUGAAAAUAGCCUUAACUGAUGACAUUCCACCAUUGUGAUUUGUUUCUGCCCCACCCUAACUGAUCAAUGUACUUUGUAAUCUCCCCAACCCUUAAGAAGGUUCUUUGUAAUCUCCCCCACAUCUUAAGAAGGUUCUUUGUAAUUCUCCCCACCCUUGAGAAUGCACUUUGUGAGAUCCACUCCCUGCCCACAAAACAUUGCUCCUAACUCCACCGCCUACCCCAAAACCUAUAAGAA
Molecule: long non-coding RNA, 1129 nt
Filed under: Homo sapiens (human)
Lineage: Eukaryota; Metazoa; Chordata; Mammalia; Primates; Hominidae
Description: HSALNT0018016
Source: RNAcentral